RNAcentral lists this ribosomal RNA (497 nucleotides) under uncultured bacterium. RNAcentral describes it as "partial 16S ribosomal RNA". It matches the Rfam family "Bacterial small subunit ribosomal RNA", at positions 28 to 507 of the family's 1533-position model. The record is from RNAcentral.
GAUGAACGCUGGCGGCGUGCCUAAUACAUGCAAGUCGAGCGAACAGAUAAGGAGCUUGCUCCUUUGACGUUAGCGGCGGACGGGUGAGUAAAACGUGGGUAACCUACCUAUAAGACUGGGGUAACUUCGGGAAACCGGAGCUAAUACCGGAUAACAUUUGGAACCGCAUGGUUCUAAAGUGAAAGAUGGUUUUGCUAUCACUUAUAGAUGGACCCGCGCCGUAUUAGCUAGUUGGUAAGGUAACGGCUUACCAAGGCGACGAUACGUAGCCGACCUGAGAGGGUGAUCGGCCACACUGGAACUGAGACACGGUCCAGACUCCUACGGGAGGCAGCAGUAGGGAAUCUUCCGCAAUGGGCGAAAGCCUGACGGAGCAACGCCGCGUGAGUGAUGAAGGGUUUCGGCUCGUAAAACUCUGUUAUUAGGGAAGAACAAAUGUGUAAGUAACUGUGCACGUCUUGACGGUACCUAAUCAGAAAGCCACGGCUAACUACGUG